Long non-coding RNA from Pipistrellus kuhlii (Kuhl's pipistrelle), 224 nucleotides. RefSeq lists it as uncharacterized. The transcript has 3 exons. Lineage: Eukaryota; Metazoa; Chordata; Mammalia; Chiroptera; Vespertilionidae. The record is from RefSeq and is a predicted model, not a curated record.
UACAGGACGCUCUUCCCCUCUUCCCUCUCCUUCCCACCAAUAUCUAGUUUUCUUCCCCCACAGCUCUGAGGAUGGGGCAUAAAAGCUCUCAGAAUGUGGGCUUCCCUCCAUCAGAGUGGGGCUGUGGGUGACGGGGCCAGGCUUUGCCCAGGUGUGGGCAUAUGUCAGCAGAUGAGGGGAUGCAGUAUUUGGAAGGUCCUCUCUGGGUAUGCAGAAAGGCAGGA